RNAcentral lists this non-coding RNA (99 nucleotides) under Rhizobium sullae. The record is from RNAcentral. Lineage: Bacteria; Pseudomonadati; Pseudomonadota; Alphaproteobacteria; Hyphomicrobiales; Rhizobiaceae.
GAGAGCAGGAUGCGUAACGAAACACGCACGUCCGGUUCGGCGAGAGGCAGCAAGAAGCCAGCCGUUGAAAGGUGGCCCAGCGCUUACUGCCUACUCUAC